Molecule: non-coding RNA, 87 nt
Filed under: Delftia tsuruhatensis
Lineage: Bacteria; Pseudomonadati; Pseudomonadota; Betaproteobacteria; Burkholderiales; Comamonadaceae
Also listed under: 1 other name
Description: sRNA-Xcc1
Rfam family: sRNA-Xcc1
Source: RNAcentral
GCCGGGAGGGCGACGGAUACAACACCCCGCAAGGGGAAAGAAGUCCGCCUAGCGUAUCCUAGGUUUCUAGCCUCCCGGCCGCCUUGU